Molecule: ribosomal RNA, 253 nt
Filed under: uncultured bacterium
Lineage: Bacteria
Description: partial 16S ribosomal RNA
Rfam family: Bacterial small subunit ribosomal RNA
Source: RNAcentral
UACAGAGGGGGCGAGCGUUGUUCGGAAUUACUGGGCGUAAAGGGCGCGUAGGCGGCCUCCUAAGUCGAACGUGAAAUCCCCGGGCUCAACCCGGGAACUGCGUCCGAUACUGGGGAGCUUGAAUCCGGGAGAGGGAUGUGGAAUUCCAGGUGUAGCGGUGAAAUGCGUAGAUAUCUGGAGGAACACCGGUGGCGAAGGCGGCAUCCUGGACCGGUAUUGACGCUGAGGCGCGAAAGCCAGGGGAGCAAACGGG